CGGGUCUCCGGGCCUGACGAGAGAAAUCUCCCGGUGGAAAAGCAAACUCCUCGGGUCCGCUCCGGCGUGGCCCGAACCCCUUCGGUGAAACUGUCCUCGGGCGAGAAGCAACCCCGACGGGUACCUGCCGGUCCCCGUCCCCGUCCGCCUCUAGGGGUGCGGGGACCGUAGGUUCAAAGACCCCUCCCCCGGGGGGGGGCGCCCGUCCGGGUCUCGCUCUUUUCUAUUUUUCCCCAUUCUCGGUCAGUGUUGAUCGGCCAACCUCAAACGAAAAAAGAGUA
Molecule: ribosomal RNA, 281 nt
Filed under: Tinca tinca (tench)
Lineage: Eukaryota; Metazoa; Chordata; Actinopteri; Cypriniformes; Tincidae
Description: internal transcribed spacer 1
Source: RNAcentral